This 360-nucleotide ribosomal RNA is filed under the name uncultured Psychrobacter sp. RNAcentral's name for it is "bacterial SSU rRNA". It matches the Rfam family "Bacterial small subunit ribosomal RNA", at positions 1008 to 1367 of the family's 1533-position model. The record is from RNAcentral. Lineage: Bacteria; Pseudomonadati; Pseudomonadota; Gammaproteobacteria; Moraxellales; Moraxellaceae.
GCGGGAGUGCCUUCGGGAAUUAGAAUACAGGUGCUGCAUGGCUGUCGUCAGCUCGUGUCGUGAGAUGUUGGGUUAAGUCCCGCAACGAGCGCAACCCUUGUCCUUAGUUACCAGCGGGUUAAGCCGGGAACUCUAAGGAUACUGCCAGUGACAAACUGGAGGAAGGCGGGGACGACGUCAAGUCAUCAUGGCCCUUACGACCAGGGCUACACACGUGCUACAAUGGUAGGUACAGAGGGCAGCUACACAGCGAUGUGAUGCGAAUCUCAAAAAGCCUAUCGUAGUCCAGAUUGGAGUCUGCAACUCGACUCCAUGAAGUAGGAAUCGCUAGUAAUCGCGGAUCAGAAUGCCGCGGUGAAU